UGCCAAGUGGUAUGAUGUUAUAAAGAAUGAGCAUAACAAGUGUGUGAACUUGAUUCAGACGAGUACACAGAAAGCGGCAGAAAUGAGAGAGAAGAUCAAGAUCUUACAGAAUGACACAGCAGCCACUCAAAAAGACAGACAUCUAUAAAAACAGAGAUUACAACAUAUAAACAGUAUAGUAAUGAGAGAUGGUUUGAGGAAUGAGGUUGCCAAGCAGCAAAGAAUUGAGAAAGAAAUGCAUUAAAAAUGUGAACAACAAAAAAUGAACAUUUCAAAAUUGAACACUAUGAUUAAUCAGGCAGAGGAACAGAUGACAAAAUUAAGAAAUAUAUAUGAAAAAGCCAUAACACAUAGGAAUGAGAGAGGUAUUGAAAGAAAGAAAAUUGAUUGAAAGAAAUGAGGUGUGCAUUUUCUAGGAAAAAGUUU
Molecule: long non-coding RNA, 426 nt
Organism: Ruditapes philippinarum (Manila clam)
Lineage: Eukaryota; Metazoa; Mollusca; Bivalvia; Venerida; Veneridae
Exons: 3
Source: RefSeq, a predicted model, not a curated record